ACAGCCCCAAACCCACCAUCUAUCCGAGAAGAACUCUGUACUGCCUCCCAUGACACCAUUACAGUCCACUGGAUCUCGGAUGAUGAGUUCAGCAUCAGCUCCUAUGAGCUUCAGUACACCAUAUUCACUGGCCAGGCUAACUUCAUCAGCCUGUAUAAUUCAGUAGACAGCUGGAUGAUUGUUCCCAACAUUAAACAGAACCAUUACACAGUGCAUGGACUCCAGAGCGGGACUCGCUACAUCUUCAUCGUUAAAGCCAUAAACCAAGCCGGCAGCCGGAACAGUGAACCUACCCGACUAAAAACAAACAGCCAACCCUUUAAAUUGGAUCCCAAAAUGACUCACAAGAAGUUGAAGAUUUCCAAUGAUGGAUUGCAGAUGGAGAAGGAUGAAAGCUCUCUAAAGAAGAGCCACACCCCAGAGAGGUUUAGUGGCACAGGGUGCUAUGGGGCAGCAGGAAAUAUAUUCAUUGACAGUGGCUGCCACUAUUGGGAGGUGGUCAUGGGUUCCUCAACAUGGUGAGUGGAUCCCAUUUUCCUUUUCUUUUCUGUCCUCUGUCAUUAGGUUCCUAGGAGAUUCAAUUCUAUAGCACAACCAUAAUACCAAUAAGUCAAGGUUAAAAGGUAUGUGAUGAAAACCACUCCUAGAAAAAUUUGCCAGCUUUUUAAUAAAAUAAUGGAAAAUAUACU
This 689-nucleotide small RNA is filed under the name Pan troglodytes (chimpanzee). RNAcentral describes it as "retained intron". Lineage: Eukaryota; Metazoa; Chordata; Mammalia; Primates; Hominidae. The record is from RNAcentral.